Molecule: long non-coding RNA, 319 nt
Filed under: Manihot esculenta (cassava)
Lineage: Eukaryota; Viridiplantae; Streptophyta; Magnoliopsida; Malpighiales; Euphorbiaceae
Description: long non-coding RNA (MESC_LNC000947)
Source: RNAcentral
UCUAAUUAAACUACAAAAAUAAUUAUAAUUUACCACAUUGUAAGCGUAGAUGCAAGCCGCGAUGGUAAGCGGAGAUGCGAGCCGCGAGCGACGGCCGUCAGGGAGAAAUGCGAGCCGCGAGCGAUGGUCGUCAAGGAGAGAUGCAAGCCAUGAGCGACGGCCAUAGAGAGAGACUCGAGCCGCGAGGGAUGGAAAGAAGACUAGAGGACUGAGGACAACCAAGUUGCUGACGGUGCGGAGAGCCGACGAACUGGAGAGCGACGGGCGACGAUUGCGUGGAGAGUGACGACCGACGAUUGCGUGGAGAGCGACGGCCGAC